RNAcentral lists this ribosomal RNA (301 nucleotides) under uncultured bacterium. Its description in RNAcentral is "partial 16S ribosomal RNA". It matches the Rfam family "Bacterial small subunit ribosomal RNA", at positions 509 to 807 of the family's 1533-position model. The record is from RNAcentral.
CAGCAGCCGCGGGAAAACGUAGGGUGCGAGCGUUAAUCGGAAUUACUGGGCGUAAGGCGUGCGCAGGCGGUUCGUUAAGACAGAUGUGAAAUCCCCGGGCUUAACCUGGGAACUGCAUUUGUGACUGGCGAGCUAGAGUAUGGCAGAGGGGGGUAGAAUUCCACGUGUAGCAGUGAAAUGCGUAGAGAUGUGGAGGAAUACCGAUGGCGAAGGCAGCCCCCUGGGCCAAUACUGACGCUCAUGCACGAAAGCGUGGGGAGCAAACAGGAUUAGAUACCCCCGUAGUCCCUGUCUCUUAUAC